GUAGGCGGUUAGUUAAGUGAAUAGUGAAACCUGGUGGCUCAACCAUACAGACUAUUAUUCAAACUGGCUAACUCGAGAAUGGUAGAGGUCACNUGGAAUUUCUUGUGUAGGAGUGAAAUCCGCAGAUAUAAGAAGGAACACCAAUGGCGUAGGCAGGUGACUGGACCAUUUCUGACGCCUAAGGCACGAAAGCGUGGGGAGCGAACCGGAUUAGAUACCCGGGUAGUCCACGCCGUAAACGAUGGAUACUAGCUGUUGGAGGUAUCGACCCCUUCAGUAGCGAAGCUAACGCGUUAAGUAUCCCGCCUGUGGAGUACCGGCCGCAAGGCUAAAACAUAAAGGAAUUGACGGGGACCCCGCACAAGCGGUGGAUUAUGUUCUUUAAUUCGAUGAUAACCCGAAGAACCUUACCAGGGCUUGACAUCCAGGGAAGGUCUGCGAAAAGUAGACNUGUGCCCUUUUUGGA
This 466-nucleotide ribosomal RNA is filed under the name uncultured Candidatus Saccharibacteria bacterium. RNAcentral describes it as "bacterial SSU rRNA". It matches the Rfam family "Bacterial small subunit ribosomal RNA", at positions 571 to 1025 of the family's 1533-position model. The record is from RNAcentral. Lineage: Bacteria; Candidatus Saccharimonadota.